AUGAAUGUACAGAUUCAAGAUUUCCUUUCACCUAGGCUUGGUCAGUUGGCCACUUCAAUUCCCACUUCUUGUCAUGUGAUCUUGAUGUGGAUACUUCGACAUUACAUACAAAAUAUGACGCAUUCUGUAGAAGUUACUAAUGGUCAAAAUUUUACUGAAUCCGUCACUUGCUUACUCCUAUUCACAUUUCAGCCUCCUUGCAUGGUAGAGCAUAACAUGGUUCCUGAUGUUCCAUUCUAA
RNAcentral lists this ribosomal RNA (240 nucleotides) under Triticum aestivum (bread wheat). RNAcentral describes it as "partial small subunit ribosomal RNA". Lineage: Eukaryota; Viridiplantae; Streptophyta; Magnoliopsida; Poales; Poaceae. The record is from RNAcentral.